AAGAGACAGCAGCCGCCACGGUAAUACGAGGGGGGCAAGCGUUGUUCGGAAUUAUUGGGCGUAAAGGGUGCGUAGGCGGUUUGAUAAGUCUUGUGUGAAAUCUAUGGGCCCAACCCAUAGUCUGCACAGGAAACUGUCGGGCUUGAGAGUGGGAGAGGUGAGUGGAAUUUCCGGUGUAGCGGUGAAAUGCGUAGAUAUCGGAAGGAACACCUGAGGCGAAAGCGGCUCACUGGACCAUUUCUGACGCUGAUGCACGAAAGCUAGGGGAGCAAACAGGAUUAGAUACCCCUGUAGUCCCUGUCUCUUAUAC
This 310-nucleotide ribosomal RNA is filed under the name uncultured bacterium. RNAcentral describes it as "partial 16S ribosomal RNA". It matches the Rfam family "Bacterial small subunit ribosomal RNA", at positions 503 to 807 of the family's 1533-position model. The record is from RNAcentral.